CCUACGGGAGGCAGCAGUAGGGAAUCUUCCACAAUGGGCGAAAGCCUGAUGGAGCAACGCCGCGUGGGUGAAGAAGGUCUUCGGAUCGUAAAACCCUGUUGUUAGAGAAGAACGUGCGUGAGAGUAACUGUUCACGUUUCGACGGUACCUAACCAGAAAGCCACGGCUAACUACGUGCCAGCAGCCGCGGUAAUACGUAGGUGGCAAGCGUUAUCCGGAAUUAUUGGGCGUAAAGGGAACGCAGGCGGUUUUUUAAGUCUGAUGUGAAAGCCUUCGGCUCAACCGGGGUAGUGCAUUGGAAACUGGGAGACGUGAGUGCAGAAGAGGAGAGUGGAACGCCAUGUGUAGCGGUGAAAUGCGUAGAUAUAUGGAGGAACACCAGUGGCGAAGGCGACUCUCUGGUCUGUAACUGACGCUGAGGUGCGAAAGCGUGGGGAGCAAACAGGAUUAGAUACCCGGGUAGUC
RNAcentral lists this ribosomal RNA (465 nucleotides) under uncultured bacterium. RNAcentral's name for it is "partial 16S ribosomal RNA". It matches the Rfam family "Bacterial small subunit ribosomal RNA", at positions 338 to 795 of the family's 1533-position model. The record is from RNAcentral.